RNAcentral lists this long non-coding RNA (475 nucleotides) under Numida meleagris (helmeted guineafowl). RNAcentral's name for it is "lncRNA (ENSNMEG00000004134.1)". Lineage: Eukaryota; Metazoa; Chordata; Aves; Galliformes; Numididae. The record is from RNAcentral.
GGGAUGGAACUGGGGAUACUGGGAGGGAGCUGGGGAUACUGGGAUGGAACUGGGAUGGAACUGGGGAUACUGGGAGGGAGCUGGGGAUACUGGGAGGGAACUGGGAUGGAACUGGGAGGGAACUGGGGAUACUGGGGUGGAACUGGGAGGGAAAUGGAAUGGAACUGGGAUGGAACUGGGGAUACUGGGAAGGAAAUGGGAUGGAACUGGGAUGGAACUGGGGAUACUGGGAUGGAACUGGGGAUACUGGGAGGGAACUGGGAUGGAACUGGGACGGAACUGGGAAGGAACUGGGAGGGAACUGGGAUGGAACUGGGAUGGAACUGGGGAUACUGGGAUGGAACUGGGGAUACUGGGACUGGGGACACUGGUGACACUGGUGUCACUGGUGAUACUGGGACUGGUGACACUGGGACUGGGGACACUGGGACUGGGGGACACUGGGGACACUGGUGACACUGGGACUGGGGACACU